RNAcentral lists this ribosomal RNA (481 nucleotides) under uncultured bacterium. RNAcentral describes it as "bacterial SSU rRNA". It matches the Rfam family "Bacterial small subunit ribosomal RNA", at positions 28 to 523 of the family's 1533-position model. The record is from RNAcentral.
GACGAACGCUGGCGGCGUGCUUAACACAUGCAAGUCGAACGGUGACCCAGGGCUUGCCCUGGUGAUCAGUGGCGAACGGGUGAGUAACACGUGGGCAACCUGCCCCUGACUUCGGGAUAACUCCUCGAAAGAGGAGCUAAUACCGGAUACGACCACUUCGGACAUCCGAUGGUGGUGGAAAGUUUUUCGGUCAGGGAUGGGCCCGCGGCCUAUCAGCUAGUUGGUGGGGUAAUGGCCUACCAAGGCGACGACGGGUAGCCGGCCUGAGAGGGCGACCGGCCACACUGGGACUGAGACACGGCCCAGACUCCUACGGGAGGCAGCAGUGGGGAAUAUUGCGCAAUGGGCGAAAGCCUGACGCAGCGACGCCGCGUGAGGGAUGAAGGCCUUCGGGUUGUAAACCUCUUUCAGCAGGGACGAAGCGAAAGUGACGGUACCUGCAGAGAAGCACCGGCUAACUACGUGCCAGCAGCCGCGGUAA